AUACGGAAGGUCCGGGCGUUAUCCGGAUUUAUUGGGUUUAAAGGGAGCGCAGGCGGGUUAUUAAGCGUGACGUGAAAUGUAGCCGCUCAACGGCUGAACUGCGUCGCGAACUGGUAGUCUUGAGUGAGUACGACGCGGACGGAAUUCGUGGUGUAGCGGUGAAAUGCUUAGAUAUCACGAAGAACUCCGAUUGCGAAGGCAGUCCGCGAGUCCUUUACUGACGCUAAAGCUCGAAGGUGCGGGUAUCGAACAGGAUUAGAUACCCUGGUAGUCCGCACGGUAAACGAUGGAUGCCCGCUGUUGGCGAUACACAGUCAGCGGCCAAGCGAAAGCGUUAAGCAUCCCACCUGGGGAGUACGCCGGCAACGGUGAAACUCAAAGGAAUUGACGGGG
RNAcentral lists this ribosomal RNA (393 nucleotides) under uncultured bacterium. Its description in RNAcentral is "partial 16S ribosomal RNA". It matches the Rfam family "Bacterial small subunit ribosomal RNA", at positions 523 to 918 of the family's 1533-position model. The record is from RNAcentral.